GACGAACGCUGGCGGCGUGCUUAACACAUGCAAGUCGAACGGAAAGGCCCUGCUUUUGUGGGGUGCUCGAGUGGCGAACGGGUGAGUAACACGUGAGUAACCUGCCCUUGACUUUGGGAUAACUUCAGGAAACUGGGGCUAAUACCGGAUAGGAGCUCCUGCUGCAUGGUGGGGGUUGGAAAGUUUCGGCGGUUGGGGAUGGACUCGCGGCUUAUCAGCUUGUUGGUGGGGUAGUGGCUUACCAAGGCUUUGACGGGUAGCCGGCCUGAGAGGGUGACCGGCCACAGUGGGAGUGAGAUACGGCCCAGACGCCUACGGGAGGCAGCAGUGGGGAAUAUUGCACAAUGGGCGGAAGCCUGAUGCAGCAACGCCGCGUGCGGGAUGACGGCCUUCGGGUUGUAAACCGCUUUCGCCUGUGACGAAGCGUGAGUGACGGUAAUGGGUAAAGAAGCACCGGCUAACUACGU
Molecule: ribosomal RNA, 467 nt
Filed under: uncultured bacterium
Lineage: Bacteria
Description: partial 16S ribosomal RNA
Rfam family: Bacterial small subunit ribosomal RNA
Source: RNAcentral